Molecule: long non-coding RNA, 2810 nt
Organism: Corythoichthys intestinalis (scribbled pipefish)
Lineage: Eukaryota; Metazoa; Chordata; Actinopteri; Syngnathiformes; Syngnathidae
Exons: 6
Source: RefSeq, a predicted model, not a curated record
GGGAUAUAAGAAAAGUUUUGAUGAAUUUAUAAGUGUAGGCAAAAUGAACUCAACACAAAUAUGAUCGGGGAUUGCCACGAGUUAGCUUUCGGCUAAUGUCGCUUGUUCAUUCCACAACACGAUCGGGGUUUUGCCUCAAGUUAGCUUUCGGCUCACGUCGCUACCUUCUACUGUUCAUUCCACAACAGUUGGCAGCUCUGCUUUGACAAAGUCAUCAGCCAUCUAUCCAAAAAUCACACUUACUUUUUUGCAAAUCCUUGGUCAUAAGCAGACCCGUUGAGGAAGCAGGCAUCUUUCAAGUGUUUGUAGCAGAGAACACUAUGAUGGCGUGAAAUUCAUUCGCUUUGUGCGAACGAAAGAUGUCCAUUUACGUGCCCUGCUAUCCUUUGGCCACUCAUACAAACUUUCUUUACAUUGAGAACAAUACAUCGCCACACACCGCCGUGGCAUCUUACCGAGAAGCAAUACUGUUCUAUGGCGGACUUUCCUUGCAUUUCUCUGUGCGACGUAAUUUCCGAAGAUUUUCGAAGAAAAGCAUUUUUGUUGUCAAGGGCGUUGCUAUGGGUUAAACAAAGAAUCUGGAAGGGUUGCGUUAAAAAAAAAAAACGAAAAUAUGCUUAUAAUUGUUUAGCCAUUGAUAUUAUUCAAAAACAUGGUUGGCCAACCUUACUUCACAUUUGGUCUUUAAAUAAAACAGUGAAUGGUUACAACAUGAGAAAAGUUUGAUUGCAAUUACACAUACACAAAAAGGUUAACCAUAAACAACAAAUAUGGAUAGAUUAAUAAUCUUAAUAAAAAUGCAAUUCGUGUAAAUAAAUGAAUUGAUCAAUCCAAAAUUAUAAACUGGGUUAAACUAUUUCUCAACCCACUCAAAAGCAGUUAUGUAUUGAAUAAUAAUCAUUUUAUUUUGCGGUUUUCAUGAAUCUCAAUGAUGCUUUAGAAGGAUGGAAACAGAAUCAUAAAAAUAAAAUUACAAAAUAUUAAAAUAAAACAAGCAAAGAAUUAGAAGGUAAAUUUGUGUAUAAGAAUCACAUUUAUAAGACAAUAUGACAGACACAGUAGUGAGAAUGAUAAAAUAUCAACACAUUAAAAGCAGAUCAGAGCAGAUGAGAUUUUGGAGAGAUUUGAAGGGAAGAAGAAUUCAUAUAAAACUGUUAUUUGUUACUGUUCUUGAGGUGACGUGAAAGGACUAGUUCGUUGGAUGGACUAAUUGUAAACAAGAUGGUGUGCCGAUCGGAGCACAGGUAUGACGGUAACAUGAAUCCACUGCUAAAUUCAAAUGGCUUUAAUUUGCCUUAUAUUCACCCAAAUCUUCCUUGAUGUGCAAAAAAUGAGGAAUUGUAACUCCACGGGGCAUAAGGUAUGAGAUCAAUCUGUAAACAAUACAACUAAAAAGGAAUAAGCUAAAAUACUAUCAUAAAUUUCAAUUUAAUCAGGAAAAUACAGUCAAGUGCACACAUUCACUAACAAGCAAGUAUUAUGAAAAUUCGCUUUCAAGAAAAGGACGAAUGCUGUCAUCUAGCGGCCGUAAUGGGAAACUACCGUACACGGAAAAUAAUACAGAUCAUCAACAACAUCAAUCAACAUCAACAUUGUAUAUGCAUCGCGAAGGGGAAAAAAACACAUACAAUGCACAUAUACAACUCCAUUCGUGACUUUUGCUAACGAAUUUACAAACGUAAAUCUUCCAUAAAAGUGUGUGAAUGUAAAGUGCUUCGACAGCGAUGAACAGCCCUCCUCUUCCGCAAUCGGACCACGCUCGUGAUUGGCUGCGCAGAUUUUGACUUGCUUGGCGCUAAUCUCGUGAUUGGCUGUGCGAUGUUGAGUCGCUUGCAACAGCCGCUCUCCCGAUUGGGUUUUUUAUUUUUUAAUAAGAGAAAGAGAUCAAAGAAAUAGACAAAAAGAGGAUUAAAGAUAAAGACUCGCCAUUUUUUCCUCUUUUCUCGACGACGUGUCCAGCAUUGUGGUCUAAAAAAUCAUUAGCUAAUCUUCGUCUCAGCAUUUACAAAUCAAGUGAGAAAAUGUCCGCGAGACCGGAGGAACUUUGUGGGGAGAAAGAGGAGCCCCCACGUCACCGACACUCGACUGUAUGCAAACUAAUGCACGCCAAGGUUGUUCUUCACAGACUAGAAGAUCUGUAUGUCAGCCAAGCCUAUUAUCCUGAGUAUGCAUGCAUCAAGGACGAGGAAGAGUCGCCAUCCAUUAAGGAAGAAGAAGACUUCAUACACAUUAGAGAGAUCAAAACAGAUCUCUGCUAACAAAACCGAUUCCUGUUGCCUCCAGUACACCUUGUCGCCUACCUGGUUUAAUCCAAAAUAUUUAUCUUACCACCACAAACACCAAUGGCUUUGUCAAGUAAAAAAUUCCCUGGCCCCUCUGAGUGACAACCGCCAACGCGCAUCAGCAACUACACACCAGUUUCCUGCUUGUCCGGAUUUACAAAUUAUCAGCCAACACCGCCUAGCUGCCAGCACCCUCUGCCAUCCCAGACCUGCAAAGAGAAGAAAGACAGACACAGUGCUUGCAGCUGUAAAGGCAGAGCGAUGCGCACUAACAGAAUGAUGCAGCUAUUCGAAGACCAAACUCAAUUGGAAGCAGAGGAGUUUCAGGCUCAACGGUCAGAGUUAGCAGAGGCCACCCGGCAGCAAAGUUUCAUGGAGGGUCUUCUGGACGCCAUGAACAGAAUAGCAAAUCGGCAAGAAAAAUUAUUUUAUUUUAUUUAUUUUAUUUAUUAUUUUAAAAAAAUAUGGAAGAGUAAACUAAAUUUUGCACAUGUACUUUUAUUUUAAAUUGUUUGAUGGACCUUUAAU